AGAACGAACGCUGGCGGCAGGCCCAAUACAUGCAAGUCGAACGCACUCUUCGGAGUGAGUGGCAGACGGGUGAGUAACGCGUGGAAACCUUCCCAAUAGUACGGAAUAACUCCGGGAAACCGGUGCUAAUACCGUAUAAGCCCUUCGGGGGAAAGAUUUAUCGCUAUUGGAUGGGUCCGCGUCGGAUUAGCUUGUUGGUAGGGUAAUGGCCUACCAAGGCGACGAUCCGUAGCU
This 234-nucleotide ribosomal RNA is filed under the name uncultured bacterium. RNAcentral's name for it is "partial small subunit ribosomal RNA". It matches the Rfam family "Bacterial small subunit ribosomal RNA", at positions 26 to 288 of the family's 1533-position model. The record is from RNAcentral.